This 253-nucleotide ribosomal RNA is filed under the name uncultured bacterium. RNAcentral's name for it is "partial 16S ribosomal RNA". It matches the Rfam family "Bacterial small subunit ribosomal RNA", at positions 524 to 776 of the family's 1533-position model. The record is from RNAcentral.
UACGAAGGGUGCAAGCGUUAGUCGGAAUUACUGGGCGUAAAGCGCACGUAGGCGGCUUUCUAAGUCAGGGGUGAAAUCCUGGAGCUCAACUCCAGAACUGCCUUUGAUACUGGAGAGCUUGAGUCCGGGAGAGGUGAGUGGAACUCCGAGUGUAGAGGUGAAAUUCGUAGAUAUUCGGAAGAACACCAGUGGCGAAGGCGGCUCACUGGCCCGGUACUGACGCUGAGGUGCGAAAGCGUGGGGAGCAAACAGG